GUACUCACUUCGGCAGCACAUAUACUAAAAUCGGAAUAAUACAGAGAUUAGCAUGGCCCCUGAGCAAGGAUGACACGCAAAUUUGAGAAGUGUUCCAUAUUUUA
Myotis daubentonii (Daubenton's bat) is the source of this 104-nucleotide small nuclear RNA. The record is from RefSeq and is a predicted model, not a curated record. NCBI's taxonomy places the organism in Eukaryota, Metazoa, Chordata, Mammalia, Chiroptera, Vespertilionidae.